RNAcentral lists this ribosomal RNA (253 nucleotides) under uncultured bacterium. Its description in RNAcentral is "partial 16S ribosomal RNA". It matches the Rfam family "Bacterial small subunit ribosomal RNA", at positions 524 to 776 of the family's 1533-position model. The record is from RNAcentral.
UACGUAGGGCGCAAGCGUUGUCCGGAAUUAUUGGGCGUAAAGAGCUCGUAGGCGGUCUGUCGCGUCUGCUGUGAAAACCCGAGGCUCAACCUCGGGCCUGCAGUGGGUACGGGCAGACUAGAGUGCGGUAGGGGAGAAUGGAAUUCCUGGUGUAGCGGUGGAAUGCGCAGAUAUCAGGAGGAACACCAGCGGCGAAGGCGGCGCUCUGGGCCGGUACUGACGCUGAGGAGCGAAAGCGUGGGUAGCAAACAGG